Long non-coding RNA from Rhagoletis pomonella (apple maggot), 393 nucleotides. RefSeq lists it as uncharacterized. The record is from RefSeq and is a predicted model, not a curated record. NCBI's taxonomy places the organism in Eukaryota, Metazoa, Arthropoda, Insecta, Diptera, Tephritidae. The transcript has 3 exons.
AGGCUUUACCAUUGACCGAGAACGGCCACCCGAGGACUCUUGGCUGGUAUUGUGCGAUUCUGCCGAGUCACGCGCAGGUGCUGUACCAGGAUUCUUGUACCCUGUUUAGCCUAUCCCUGAUAAUGGUAUCUAUUUCUGUGCGCAACGAACUGCGCUCCAGAGAAGGCUGAUCAGAAGGCGACGGCCCUCCAUUGUUGGUCCGCUGCGGCGUCAAGCUUAAAUCGGGCGCAGUUAUAGCUACGGAUUCUGUUAUUAAUUGAUCGGUACAACGAACUGGAGAAGCUACAUUAGGAAAAGAUCUUGAAACGAUUCAUCGACCGCCCCGGCCUUCCCUAAGUUUUUAGGUGUGCGGAACAUGUUCUUUUCGCUAUCGGUUUUCGAUCGAGUAUAAUA